RNAcentral lists this long non-coding RNA (832 nucleotides) under Mytilus galloprovincialis (Mediterranean mussel). Lineage: Eukaryota; Metazoa; Mollusca; Bivalvia; Mytilida; Mytilidae. The record is from RNAcentral.
UACAUUUUGUAGACUAUUUUCAAUAUCUUUAGGUUUACAACAUUCAACAUCUCUGUUUUUGUACAAAUUUUCAUAAAAUAUUUUAACCUGUUUAAGUAUUUCUUUUUGGUUAGUUACAAUAUCACCAUUUUCUUUUUCAACCUUUGGAAUAAUCUUGCUGGUAAAAUUCUUAGAUUCAAGUCCACAAAAAUAACUUGUGGGUUUUUCUCCCUCUUCUAUCCACUGUAUUCUGGAUCGAACUAUUUUACCAUGCAUUUUUUCCUUUCUUAAUUUUUCUAGUUCAUUUUUUUUGUCUUCCAAUUGCUGUAUAGAACCUGAGUUUACAUUUUCUUCUAAAAUAUUAAUGUCAUCUUUUAAUGUUUUUUCCCUUUUCUCUCUUUCCUUCUUUUUGAAGCUAGAGUAUGAGAUAGUUUUGCCCCUCACCUCCAUUAAUAGAGUUUCCAAAAAAAGCUGACUAUUAAUUGUAAAAUGAAGAUCAUCAUUAUUCACUUCAUUAAUAUUGUCAAAAUUAUAUACCAAGGCUGCAUACUGUUUUUUUACAUUCAAAAUUUUUUCCUUGAUAGCAUUAACAUAGUCAGCAUCAUACAACAAAGAAUUAUUGAACUUCCAUAAACCUUUCCCCCUAAUGAAUGGAUUCAAUUCAAGUUCUAGAAUAAUUCUAGAAUGAUCUGAGCGGUAACUCGGUUCUACACAGCAAUUUUUCAAAAAUGACAAAAUGUUUUCAGAAAAUAAGAAAAAAUCAAGCCUAGCUUGUUUGAAAGGUGAUUUUUUCCUCCAAGUGUAUCUACACAGGUCAGGAAAAAGUUCCCUAUAGGGGUCAACUAGAGAUCUA